CAAUUGGUCGACAGUCUGUUGGGUGGGGUAUUUUAAGUUCCUCCAUUUAUUGCCCAAUGGGAUCUCCUUUUUUUCUGUAAUAUCUCUGGAGUUACAACCCACGACUGUAUUUGUUAGUGACAGAGACAUGGUUCUUGAAUUUGUUCAUUUUCUCUCCUAAGGAUUUCAAUAAUGACCUGCUCAAAGGGUUCCAGGACUCUGCACACUUCCUCCACCACCUCCCAUUCCUCUUGGGUCAGAGCAUCAACAGGUCAUUGACAAUGGCCAGGGUAGAGAUGAUGGCAUCCUUUGACUCAAGAAACCGCUUCAACAUAUAAAAUGUUGAAUUCACCUUGUAGUGCAGUCUUGUUUAGGCCUCAGCUCAGGCAUCGCCAUCUGGCGUUGUGUAGACUUUAGUUUUUCAGCACCUACUGUUCUCCUGUGGAAGUAUUCCACAGGUGCUUUCACUUUGUCCACAGAAGGCUUCAUCACCUUCAGAGCAUCUCUUACAAUCAGCUUGAUUGUGUGAGCAAGACAUAGAUGAUGGGUCCAUUUAAAAAUGUCUAUGGCUUUGGUUAUGUUAGCUGCAUUGUCGGUAACACAACAGACUACUUUUCCAUCUACUUGCCAUUCUUUGGCCACUCUCAACAGUUCCUCUGCCAAGUUCUCUGAGUGGUGUCUGUCACUGAACUCAAAGCAGUCCAGAAGACAGCUAGACUGUGAUUUUGAAAGUGAUUUUGAAAGGGUUUUCCUGUUUGGAAUUGUGUACAUUGGAUUUAGAUUAUUGCUAUAAUUUCCAAAACCUCUGUCCUCCAAAAUCGAAAAUGAUUGGAAAUCGGUGGCAAUCAUUUUAGCCA
This 836-nucleotide long non-coding RNA is filed under the name Salmo salar (Atlantic salmon). Its description in RNAcentral is "lncRNA (ENSSSAG00000088945.1)". The record is from RNAcentral. Lineage: Eukaryota; Metazoa; Chordata; Actinopteri; Salmoniformes; Salmonidae.